Molecule: non-coding RNA, 3949 nt
Organism: Rattus norvegicus (Norway rat)
Lineage: Eukaryota; Metazoa; Chordata; Mammalia; Rodentia; Muridae
Source: RefSeq, a predicted model, not a curated record
UUGAACUUCCCUGCCAAACCAGGACGCCACGGAGCAAAGCAUGAUGGGAAAGAAGAAAUGACCUGGGAAGUCUCUCAGUUUGGGGGGGUGGGGGAGGAGGCUGGACACGUGAAGCCUGUCACAGCCUAGCCAAGCAACUUCUGCAGUCCGUGUUGAAAUCCUGCUGAAGAGAGGCUGGCUGCCAGGAGCUGCAGGCCUCCCAGAAAUGCCAUCCCAUGAUCCAUGGGCUCGUUUCCGCGCAUCAUGAAGAGUUUCACGAAAACAACGGGCACUGUCAUUUGAGGCCUGCGCUUUGACGGCUGCGCCAGGCCUUAGAAGAUGGCCGCUCAUUUGGAAUCUCCCCAGAAGACCUUUACCAAGUCAAAAGACACUCCCCAAACACCUGGCCCAACCCUGGUGGCUCCUGGUUUUACCUGAUCGGAUUACAAUCCCACCCAACACAGCUCUCGAACCACCCCAUAAUCUCGUGUUUCAGAGAGCCAGGAGGAGUUUCUUAGCAACCUUUUCAGAUGUAACCAAAAUGAAAAACUAAGCAAGGACCAGGGACCAAGAGCAAAUUCACCCCAUAAAGGAGCCAUUCCAGUAUGCAUAGGGCCUUCAGAGGUCCAAGAGGGAGAGAAACAUCUUCAGUGCUGAGAUGGGGUCAUAGACACAAGCUGCUGUCCCCAACCAAGUUUCUCCAAGGGACUCUCACCGAGUAUACAAAGCGUGCUGAAGGGUAGGCGCCAUUUCCAGCAGUAAGUGACCAACACAAAGCCAGCUCAAUGGUAUUUUUGAAGACUUUUUUUUCCCUCGUGUAUUGCUUUGUUUAGACUUUUUCCCCCUCUUUUAACCUUACAGGUCUUUUACUUCUAUAUUAUGGUUUCCAGUCUUUUAUGUUUCACUGCUUGGACCCCACUCCCACUCAUGUUACAAUUCGUAUCCCAAGGGAAGGACAUUAGAAGGCAGGGCCUAUAAGAAGAGAACAGCUCCUCAUGGUAUGGCCCGUGAUCAUGACUGGAAUGAGUGGGCUGAGAGACCUCGGUGUAUAGUACUUGGUUAUGGAAACCUGAAAGGAUUAAGACAGGAGACCUCAGUCACAGCCAGCUUCAGCAGAUGCUUGGUCAGACUCAGCUAGCAUGCCCGUCUUGAUCCAAGCCCAGGCUCUGUCACUAAGCACCACAAUCACAAAGGAAACGAAAUUCAAGACGAAGACUGUCCUGUGAGCUCAGCACAGGUCUAAGGAAAAAGCAGGCUCCCAUUAGCUCAUGAAGGUCCUCCUAGACAGCAGGCCACACUCAUGACCUCAGAGUCUCCUAAACUUAAUAAGGAUUCUUGAUGCUGACAGAUGCUCAUUGGGGGCCUGCUCACUUCCUCUAUGAUCUCCCUUUUCUGUCAUUAGUCAUUACCCAGACUGCCACGGUCUGUAUCCCAGAGUGACCUCACAUGUCACUCACCCACCUUUUAGCAUCUUUUAGCACCAAGUCCUCACCUUCCUGCCUGUUCCCGUAGCAGACAUCACUAGUGGACACUUCCUUCCUGUUACAACUGGAUUGAACCUUGAUCAGAAUCCUUAUUGACUCGGUACUCUAGGCAGCAAUAAUAGAGCUAGCAGAGUCCAUAUGUAAGAUGUGACUCACUUUAGCUAGCCCUGGUUGCCCCAGUUUUAGAAACAAGGAACAUGGAAAGCAGCACUAGGAAAGGGUUUGUAAGUAAAUGGUCAUCAUCAGUGUCUCAUCUAUCUCCAGGCCCAGGAUGCUGUGAUCUCUGUGACCUCCUAUCUUCUAAAAUUAGUUUCCUUUAGGGCUAUAAAGCAGGGGAGAAGAGGGUUGUCUCCUCACAGUGCUAGUCUCUCCUCCAGUGCCUGCCCCACAGACUCACUGUAGGCCAGAGUAGGCCUCAGUGUAGGAGCAGAAUGACUCCCUGAGAACCCUAAGGAAUGGGGAGAUCUGCUGGACUAUUGUAAGAGCAGCGUUACAAUGGAACAGUACUGGUUCUCCUGCAAACCUGUUCACCCUCCAGUAAGCAGACUAGGAAAAGGGAAGGCAGCUUCCUCCAUGGUCAAUUUCUGAUCUCCGUGCCCUUUAAUUAUAUGCAUGAUGGAAAUGUGUUCCCUGCAACCUGCUAGCUCAGAUAGGUCUACAGAUUCGCCCACCCAGCUGCCUGCAACUAUAUUUGCUGCUCAGAAAUGAUUUUGCAAGGAUCCAAAGAGACAGAGGUGACAGGCAGCCUGUGGUGUGGCUGCAGAGCCUUGACAAUAGACGUGUCAGCCGUGUACCAUGGCUGCUUCUAACUCCUAAGACUCCAGAUUCUGGGUGAUGGCGACUGCUGGGAUGGAUGGGAGAGGGCAAGCUCACUCUGAGGCUUUGUGUAGCCUGUGGUGCUUGAUGAUGAGUAGUACCAAGAGAGGUUUGUGCCUGUCUUAGAAGGGAGGGGCCUAAAGUGUGUGGCUCCAGUGUUGCUCUUCCCCAGGGAGAUGACAAAGAGCUCUAAGGCACUGGUGGCACCAUCGGCUCUGGAUACUGAUGCAGAUAUCUCUCUCUUUUGGUGACUGAGAUGGACUUUAAUUCUGACACCUGUAUUGUAUGGGCAGCUGCAAACUAUUGGAUCCCAGCUGCUGGUUCAGGUGUAAGUGGGGUGAGUGCGUCCCAUGGCUCAUGUCUAAAGUUCAGAGGACUGUCAGGUAUCAGUCUUCUUCAUGUCAUGUCACUUCACUAGCUGGUCUGUGAGCUCCCAGGAAUUCUCCCAUCGCCACCUCCCAUCUUUUUAUAAGAGAUCAGGGAUUACAGAUGCCGGCUACCACAUCCAGCUUCUGUGUGGGUGCUGGGGGUCUGAGCUUAGGACCUUGUGCUUGCUUGACACGCUUCUGGUCUCCAAGAAAGUCACAGGACAACCAUGGACAGUUUGGCUUCUCUCCAUGGAGAGAUCAGGUACUUCAACCACGUAGCAUAUCUGUGGUGGUUUGAAUGGAAUGACCCCAUAGGCUCUUAUCUUUGAAUGGCUGGUCAUUGGGGAGUGGCAUUACAUAAGAGGGAUUAAGAGGUGUGGCCUCGUUAAAAUAAAUGCAUCAUUGCGGGUGGGCUUUGGGGUUUCAGAAGGUCAAGCAAGACCCAGUGCCUCUCUCUCUUCCUGCUGCCUCUGGAUCUGGAUGUAGAAUGCUCAAGCUACCUCUCCAACACCAUGUCUACCUGCAUGAGUCAUGCUGCCCACCAUGAUGACUAUGGACUAAACCUCUGAAACUGUCUCGUGGUAGAGUGCUAGUCUCUUCACAUGCUUAAGGCUGUACAUUUAGUUACUGGCCCUGCAGGGGGGUGAGGGAUGGAGUGGAAAUGGGGAACGACACACCCUGCUCGUUGUUUUUGGCAUCUCCUAACACCCAGCUGGCAGGGUCGGUGUGCAGAUCCAGCAAUGGGACCCUGUACAACAUCUACCACAUGGUAGACACAGUGACGUGUCUUGUGUAGUGCAGCUGCUGUGCAUGGCAGAUCUUUGAACUGAAGUUUCCAGAGAAAAGCCACACCUACUGUAAAAGACUUCAGGACUGAAUGACUCCCGCUUCCCGCUUGUGGAGACCUGCAGGGGUCUGCAGUAAUAUUGGACUAUCUGUAAGUGCAUUUAGUAGCCAUUCAUUGUCUACUUCUGGUUUGAUCCAACAUCCCUUCAACUACCAGAUAAAACCUUUGGAACGUGUCCAUUUAACAGAUCCCCGUCCUCCACCAGCCUAAAAGCUAGGAAUGCCGUCGCGGAACAUCGGAACCCUGUGCUGGAGACUCCCCCGCUUCGCUGUGACAUACCUGUCUGCAGUCCUCAUAACUGUCUUUGGCAACACAGCCUGCUGUCCUUCUGUGACUAUGAAUGCUCGUGUAACUUCUUCCACUGUGGGACACACUAUUUGGGGCCACCUGAAUCUACAUUCCUAGGCCAUAGUCACUCAUGUUUGACUGAGAAUAAAUAAUCUCAUUCCCUUAAA